CAGGGAGCUUGAAAUGGCCCAGGCAUGAGCUUCUUUGUACCGGUGAUAUAGCUGACCUGUACAAUUUCAUAUUUCAGGACUCAUGGUGUAAGCAAUUGACACUAAUAAUACUGGGAUUUUACGCGAUCUUCCUGCAAACAGAGUUAAUAUUGACUCUAAAGGAAGAGGUCUUCACCUAAUUUGCAACAGAUCUCUCCUGAGAAUUUUUCUGAAGGAAGAGAGUGUAGGGAUUCAGGUUAACUAUCCAGAAGGGAACAAAAAUGACACAGUGGGAUGAAAAAGAUUUCUUCUAAUAUAAUUAUAAAGUGUCUUUCUGCUACGUGACUUUCUAGUAACUCCCUGUUGUCUUUGCUCCGCCAUUUCUCAGUGUGUAUAUCUCUGUUGGUGUCUUUCAGACUGGUGCUCUGAUUCCACAUGACGCCUCUGACAAAAAGAUGAUAUAGAGCUUUUUUUACAGGCUAUGAAGCUCUAACCUUUGAAAGUGCCAUAAGAGACCAAGGAAAAUAAUGAAUUAAUAUAGAUCUUGGUGAGUGGGCAUGAAUCAAGCUUUAUGAAAAAAUGCUGGUGGUUUUUUUUUGGACUCUAUGUACAUCACCCAACAUGUCAUAGAAUCAUAGAAUAUAGUGUUCGAAGGGACCUCAAGGAUCAUCCGGUCCAUCCUUUCUCGGCAAAGCAUGGCCUAGGCUAGAUGGCCCAGCACCCUCUCCAGCUAAAUCUUCAGUGUUUAAUGUAAGUAUCAGCUGAUAUCAGGGUUAUUAUUAUUUAACAUUACUUUCUGGGCAGGGAAUCUGAUCUGUUCAGAAAAUAAGGGUUAAAUUCUCUGUACAAAAGCUUUUCCUGCAAUUUUUCAUUUUCAAUUCAGAGACUUCAAAACAGCUUUGGUUAAAACAUUUAAUACUGGGGAAGAAUAUGGUGUCAACUUUAGAGAACAGAGGGAGUGUCACAUUUAUCUUCAAAAGCUUGGCCUGGACAUAUAAUUAAUGUAUUUUUCUUAAACUAUAAUGAAAUAAAGGCUAAGAAAGAGCUAAAUAUUGUAAUAAUUAAAAAAGCAGAGGGAAAAAACCAAAACAAA
Molecule: long non-coding RNA, 1072 nt
Organism: Pezoporus flaviventris
Lineage: Eukaryota; Metazoa; Chordata; Aves; Psittaciformes; Psittacidae
Exons: 2
Source: RefSeq, a predicted model, not a curated record